Non-coding RNA from Salvelinus sp. IW2-2015, 441 nucleotides. Lineage: Eukaryota; Metazoa; Chordata; Actinopteri; Salmoniformes; Salmonidae. The record is from RefSeq and is a predicted model, not a curated record.
CUGCCAGUCGUUGACCAGCACCUGUUAAUAAUCUACCUGUAAGAACUGUUAGGGCCCCUGGAUUGAUGAGGAAUUUAAGAAUUCUUUGGUUCAAAGACACGAUACAAAAGACGUGAGAUACAAGUCAGGUUGCUCAGCUGAUUGGUUGACAUACAAGUCCGGUUGCUCAGCUGAUUGGUUGACAUACAAGUCAGGUUGCUCAGCUGAUUGGUUGCAAUACAAGUCAGGUUGGCUCAGCUGAUUGGUUGACAUACAAGUCAGGUUGCUCAGCUGAUUGGUUUGACAUACAAGUCAGGUUGCUCAGCUGAUUGGUUGACAUACAAGUCAGGUUGCUCAGCUGAUUGGUUGACAUUCUGUAACUUGAGACAUUUUGUGACUAAACUUAACAAAAAUAUGAUUUCUUUUUUAUUACCAAACCAAGAUAAAUGACUUAAAACACAA